Molecule: ribosomal RNA, 220 nt
Filed under: uncultured Burkholderia sp.
Lineage: Bacteria; Pseudomonadati; Pseudomonadota; Betaproteobacteria; Burkholderiales; Burkholderiaceae
Description: partial 16S ribosomal RNA
Rfam family: Bacterial small subunit ribosomal RNA
Source: RNAcentral
UGAUCCAGCAGUGGGGAAUUUUGGACAAUGGGGGCAACCCUGAUGCAGCAAUGCCGCGUGUGUGAAGAAGGCCUUCGGGUUGUAAAGCACUUUUGUCCGGAAAGAAAUCCUGUGGGUUAAUACCCUGGGGGGAUGACGGUACCGGAAGAAUAAGCACCGGCUAACUACGUGCCAGCAGCCGCGGUAAUACGUAGGGUGCAAGCGUUAAUCCGAAUUAGUG